This 1761-nucleotide long non-coding RNA is filed under the name Homo sapiens (human). RNAcentral's name for it is "HSALNT0105376". The record is from RNAcentral. Lineage: Eukaryota; Metazoa; Chordata; Mammalia; Primates; Hominidae.
GAACUCUGUAAAUCUGUCUCCCAGCAGUCACGCAAACAACUUAUCAGUAGUGACUUACAGUAAGGGGCUCCAUGGGCCUUACCCCUUCGGCCAGUCUUAAACGGGUGUCAGCAAGAAGAAAAAUUAACAAAAGACAGAAGGCCUGACUUUGGGGGGUUAGGGCAAGGGGUUCCUCUGGAUUGCAGACCACAUCGCACAGACCCCUGGCUCUGACCCCCUCUCAUCCCGGAAGAAGAGGAAGAAGCAGAACAGACUAGUUUUGAGUAAACUCAGUAUGCAUGUGUGAAUGCUGAAUCACAGGAAUGGUGUUGAGGCUACCAAGAAGAAAUCCAUGCAGCCACUUUGGGUUUUGUUAUAGGCAUCAGUCUAACAAGUCAUUAGGUCACUCGGGAAGGGGGAAAAAGUUUAAAAUGGGGGAAAAAAAGCCAUCUUUUUAAACAAAAAUUAUUUUGCCUACAGAAAGGUUGUAGUUUUGAGCACAUGUUAAUUUUUUUCCCUCUUUCCCCACUUUUAUUUUUUUAAAUAAGGGAUAACAUAUUCUUUAUAGAAUAGUGCUUGUUCUGGAAGAGAUUCAGGUGAAAAGUUGGCGUGGCAUGUUUGAGGACUCUGCGGAUCAGUGCUACAGGAGUACAUCUGCCCUGCCACAUGACUCCAGAAGUCUCUGACCCCAUUUGUUUUUAAUGGCAUCAGCCAAUGAGUUAUCACCCUUUUCCUCCUCUUUUCUCUUUAAUCUUCUGUUGAUUUACACCUUUGACAUUUGUAUUCGUCAACCCUGUGGCUUGUUAGCAUCAGAACCUCUCUGAAGACCAAACUUCCCUGUGUGGCCAGCAGAGGAAGCCUUGAGGAUAGAUCUCGGGUGACGUGGGAUUUUCUAAGCCUGAGAGGUGUCCUUCUGCACACCCUUGUAACAAUUAAAAUUGCUUUUCUUCCAUGUUUCUCUUGGCAGAGAGAAAUGCCAUCAUGCUUACUGCUCUUUUGGAUUCUUCAUGCAGUGGCUUCCCAUUUGCUCUGGGAACAGUGCCUCUGUGCUGGUUAUAUGUAUGCACCACAUGUGCACACACGGGUGUUGGUGCAACUCACCAGCAGGUGUGCAGUAGGCAAGCUUGAAGGUGGCCCAUGCUUCUCUGUUGUCACACAACACCUUUCCCUGUUUCUCUUCAGUUGUCCUCUGAUAUUUUCACAGCCUGUUAGUGGCGGCUGAUCUGUAGAGGUAUGAAAAUACAGCCCCAAAGGGGGAAUUUGUCAUGGGGAAGGGCCAGCCACUGACUACUUGAUCUUGGAGACCACAUUUAGAUGGAAAUGAGAGGACCUCCACAGCCCCGCCUCCCUGCCAGGAUGCUAGAUUAUUGGCUGGGAGGUGGGCAAGUGGCAGCCCAGCUGAAGCAAGAGGCUGAUUGACUGGCUGCUCACUCAGGCAGGUGGCCUGCCCUGGCAUCCUGUAGAUUCUGAGCAGGUUGAGAUGUGGAUAUCUCCAUGGGAAGCUUGAACCAGGCUAGAACAGCUGUCUGCCAAAGAUACAAGAAUAUGCAAAGUCCCUCUUACCCCCCUCCUUCCCUCAAGUCUUAGUUGGUUUGAGAGCCAGGGAUAUGGAUCCAGGGUGCUGUUGCAGGGUCACCUGCCUGUUACCACACCCCCAUCCAGCUGGGUGGUGGGUGAGGGUGUGAGACAGGCAGGGAGACCAGGUAAUGAGUGGCUGCAAGGAGUCAUAUAGCCUGGGUGUGGGUGAGGGUCUGCCUGCCUGUUUCUGUCUGGGUGUCUGAG